RNAcentral lists this ribosomal RNA (442 nucleotides) under uncultured bacterium. Its description in RNAcentral is "partial 16S ribosomal RNA". It matches the Rfam family "Bacterial small subunit ribosomal RNA", at positions 338 to 795 of the family's 1533-position model. The record is from RNAcentral.
CCUACGGGAGGCAGCAGUGGGGAAUAUUGGGCAAUGGGCGCAAGCCUGACCCAGCAACGCCGCGUGAAGGAAGAAGGCUUUCGGGUUGUAAACUUCUUUUUUCAGGGAAGAGUAGAAGACGGUACCUGACGAAUAAGCCACGGCUAACUACGUGCCAGCAGCCGCGGUAAUACGUUGGUGGCAAGCGUUGUCCGGAUUUACUGGGUGUAAAGGGCGGGUAGCCGGGUUGGCAAGUCAGAUGUGAAAUCCUGCGGCUUAACCGCAGAACUGCAUUUGAAACUGUUGAUCUUGAGUACUGGAGAGGCAGAUGGAAUUCCUAGUGUAGCGGUGAAAUGCGUAGAUAUUAGGAGGAACACCAGUGGCGAAGGCGGUCUGCUGGACAGCAACUGACGGUGAGGCGCGAAAGCGUGGGGAGCAAACAGGAUUAGAUACCCGGGUAGUC